UUUGAAGCGUGGACGCCAGUCUGCGUGGAGCCGACCUUGAAAUACCACCCUUUAAUGUUUGAUGUUCUAACGUGGACCCGUAAUCCGGGUUGCGGACAGUGUCUGGUGGGUAGUUUGACUGGGGCGGUCUCCUCCUAAAGAGUAACGGAGGAGCACGAAGGUUGGCUAAUCCUGGUCGGACAUCAGGAGGUUAGUGCAAUGGCAUAAGCCAGCUUGACUGCGAGCGUGACGGCGCGAGCAGGUGCGAAAGCAGGUCAUAGUGAUCCGGUGGUUCUGAAUGGAAGGGCCAUCGCUCAACGGAUAAAAGGUACUCCGGGGAUAACAGGCUGAUACCGCCCAAGAGUUCAUAUCGACGGCGGUGUUUGGCACCUCGAUGUCGGCUCAUCACAUCCUGGGGCUGAAGUAGGUCCCAAGGGUAUGGCUGUUCGCCAUUUAAAGUGGUACGCGAGCUGGGUUUAGAACGUCGUGAGACAGUUCGGUCCCUAUCUGCCGUGGGCGCUGGAGAACUGAGGGGGGCUGCUCCUAGUACGAGAGGACCGGAGUGGACGCAUCACUGGUGUUCGGGUUGUCAUGCCAAUGGCACUGCCCGGUAGCUAAAUGCGGAAGAGAUAAGUGCUGAAAGCAUCUAAGCACGAAACUUGCCCCGAGAUGAGUUCUCCCUGAGACUUAGAGUCUCCUGAAGGAACGUUGAAGACGACGACGUUGAUAGGCCGGGUGUGUAAGCGCAGCGAUGCGUUGAGCUAACCGGUACUAAUGAACCGUGAGGCUUAACCUUACA
This 778-nucleotide ribosomal RNA is filed under the name Salmonella enterica subsp. enterica serovar Haifa. RNAcentral describes it as "partial 23S ribosomal RNA". It matches the Rfam family "Bacterial large subunit ribosomal RNA", at positions 2156 to 2925 of the family's 2925-position model. Lineage: Bacteria; Pseudomonadati; Pseudomonadota; Gammaproteobacteria; Enterobacterales; Enterobacteriaceae. The record is from RNAcentral.